This 473-nucleotide ribosomal RNA is filed under the name Escherichia coli. Its description in RNAcentral is "bacterial SSU rRNA". It matches the Rfam family "Bacterial small subunit ribosomal RNA", at positions 1 to 470 of the family's 1533-position model. The record is from RNAcentral. Lineage: Bacteria; Pseudomonadati; Pseudomonadota; Gammaproteobacteria; Enterobacterales; Enterobacteriaceae.
AAAUUGAAGAGUUUGAUCAUGGCUCAGAUUGAACGCUGGCGGCAGGCCUAACACAUGCAAGUCGAACGGUAACAGGAAGAAGCUUGCUUCUUUGCUGACGAGUGGCGGACGGGUGAGUAAUGUCUGGGAAGCUGCCUGAUGGAGGGGGAUAACUACUGGAAACGGUAGCUAAUACCGCAUAACGUCGCAAGACCAAAGAGGGGGACCUUCGGGCCUCUUGCCAUCGGAUGUGCCCAGAUGGGAUUAGCUAGUAGGUGGGGUAACGGCUCACCUAGGCGACGAUCCCUAGCUGGUCUGAGAGGAUGACCAGCCACACUGGAACUGAGACACGGUCCAGACUCCUACGGGAGGCAGCAGUGGGGAAUAUUGCACAAUGGGCGCAAGCCUGAUGCAGCCAUGCCGCGUGUAUGAAGAAGGCCUUCGGGUUGUAAAGUACUUUCAGCGGGGAGGAAGGGAGUAAAGUUAAUACCUUU